GGGUUGUGAGGUUAAGCGACCAAGCGUACACGGUGGAUGCCCUGGCAGUCAGAGGCGAUGAAGGACGUGCUAAUCUGCGAAAAGCGCCGGUAAGGUGAUAUGAACCGUUAUAACCGGCGAUGUCCGAAUGGGGAAACCCAGUGUGACUCGUCACACUAUCAUUAACUGAAUCCAUAGGUUAAUGAGGCGAACCGGGGGAACUGAAACAUCUAAGUACCCCGAGGAAAAGAAAUCAACCGAGAUUCCCCCAGUAGCGGCGAGCGAACGGGGAGGAGCCCAGAGCCUGAAUCAGCAUGUGUGUUAGUGGAAGCGUCUGGAAAGGCGCGCGAUACAGGGUGACAGCCCCGUACACAAAAGCGCAUAUGCUGUGAGCUCGAUGAGUAGGGCGGGACACGUGGUAUCCUGUCUGAAUAUGGGGGGACCAUCCUCCAAGGCUAAAUACUCCUGACUGACCGAUAGUGAACCAGUACCGUGAGGGAAAGGCGAAAAGAACCCCGGCGAGGGGAGUGAAACAGAACCUGAAACCGUGUACGUACAAGCAGUGGGAGCCUCUCUUUAUGGGGGGUGACUGCGUACCUUUUGUAUAAUGGGUCAGCGACUUAUAUUCUGUAGCAAGGUUAACCGCAUAGGGGAGCCGAAGGGAAACCGAGUCUUAACCGGGCGUUAAGUUGCAGGGUAUAGACCCGAAACCCGGUGAUCUAGCCAUGGGCAGGUUGAAGGUUGGGUAACACUAACUGGAGGACCGAACCGACUAAUGUUGAAAAAUUAGCGGAUGACCUGUGGCUGGGGGUGAAAGGCCAAUCAAACCGGGAGAUAGCUGGUUCUCCCCGAAAGCUAUUUAGGUAGCGCCUCGUGAAUUCAUCUCCGGGGGUAGAGCACUGUUUCGGCUAGGGGGCCAUCCCGGCUUACCAACCCGAUGCAAACUGCGAAUACCGGAGAAUGUUAUCACGGGAGACACACGGCGGGUGCUAACGUCCGUCGUGAAGAGGGAAACAACCCAGACCGCCAGCUAAGGUCCCAAAGUCAUGGUUAAGUGGGAAACGAUGUGGGAAGGCCCAGACAGCCAGGAUGUUGGCUUAGAAGCAGCCAUCAUUUAAAGAAAGCGUAAUAGCUCACUGGUCGAGUCGGCCUGCGCGGAAGAUGUAACGGGGCUAAACCAUGCACCGAAGCUGCGGCAGCGACACUUUAGUGUUGUUGGGUAGGGGAGCGUUCUGUAAGCCGUUGAAGGUGUCCUGUGAGGGGUGCUGGAGGUAUCAGAAGUGCGAAUGCUGACAUAAGUAACGAUAAAGCGGGUGAAAAGCCCGCUCGCCGGAAGACCAAGGGUUCCUGUCCAACGUUAAUCGGGGCAGGGUGAGUCGACCCCUAAGGCGAGGCCGAAAGGCGUAGUCGAUGGGAAACGGGUUAAUAUUCCCGUACUUGGUGUUACUGCGAAGGGGGGACGGAGAAGGCUAUGUUGGCCGGGCGACGGUAGUCCCGGUUUAAGCGUGUAGGCUGGUUUUCCAGGCAAAUCCGGAAAAUCAAGGCUGAGGCGUGAUGACGAGGCACCACGGUGCUGAAGCAACAAAUGCCCUGCUUCCAGGAAAAGCCUCUAAGCAUCAGGUAACAUCAAAUCGUACCCCAAACCGACACAGGUGGUCAGGUAGAGAAUACCAAGGCGCUUGAGAGAACUCGGGUGAAGGAACUAGGCAAAAUGGUGCCGUAACUUCGGGAGAAGGCACGCUGACACGUAGGUGAAGUGAUUUACUCAUGGAGCUGAAGUCAGUCGAAGAUACCAGCUGGCUGCAACUGUUUAUUAAAAACACAGCACUGUGCAAACACGAAAGUGGACGUAUACGGUGUGACGCCUGCCCGGUGCCGGAAGGUUAAUUGAUGGGGUCAGCGCAAGCGAAGCUCCUGAUCGAAGCCCCGGUAAACGGCGGCCGUAACUAUAACGGUCCUAAGGUAGCGAAAUUCCUUGUCGGGUAAGUUCCGACCUGCACGAAUGGCGUAAUGAUGGCCAGGCUGUCUCCACCCGAGACUCAGUGAAAUUGAACUCGCUGUGAAGAUGCAGUGUACCCGCGGCAAGACGGAAAGACCCCGUGAACCUUUACUAUAGCUUGACACUGAACAUUGAGCCUUGAUGUGUAGGAUAGGUGGGAGGCUUUGAAGCGUGGACGCCAGUCUGCGUGGAGCCGACCUUGAAAUACCACCCUUUAAUGUUUGAUGUUCUAACGUGGACCCGUAAUCCGGGUUGCGGACAGUGUCUGGUGGGUAGUUUGACUGGGGCGGUCUCCUCCUAAAGAGUAACGGAGGAGCACGAAGGUUGGCUAAUCCUGGUCGGACAUCAGGAGGUUAGUGCAAUGGCAUAAGCCAGCUUGACUGCGAGCGUGACGGCGCGAGCAGGUGCGAAAGCAGGUCAUAGUGAUCCGGUGGUUCUGAAUGGAAGGGCCAUCGCUCAACGGAUAAAAGGUACUCCGGGGAUAACAGGCUGAUACCGCCCAAGAGUUCAUAUCGACGGCGGUGUUUGGCACCUCGAUGUCGGCUCAUCACAUCCUGGGGCUGAAGUAGGUCCCAAGGGUAUGGCUGUUCGCCAUUUAAAGUGGUACGCGAGCUGGGUUUAGAACGUCGUGAGACAGUUCGGUCCCUAUCUGCCGUGGGCGCUGGAAGACUGAGGGGGGCUGCUCCUAGUACGAGAGGACCGGAGUGGACGCAUCACUGGUGUUCGGGUUGUCAUGCCAAUGGCACUGCCCGGUAGCUAAAUGCGGAAAAGAUAAGUGCUGAAAGCAUCUAAGCACGAAACUUGCCCCGAGAUGAGUCUUCCCUGAGACCUUGAGUCUCCUGAAGGAACGUUAAAGACGAUGACGUUGAUAGGCCGGGUGUGUAAGCGCAGCGAUGCGUUGAGCUAACCGGUACUAAUGAACCGUGAGGCUUAACCUUACAACGCCGAAGCUGUU
Molecule: ribosomal RNA, 2933 nt
Filed under: Salmonella enterica
Lineage: Bacteria; Pseudomonadati; Pseudomonadota; Gammaproteobacteria; Enterobacterales; Enterobacteriaceae
Description: bacterial LSU rRNA
Rfam family: Bacterial large subunit ribosomal RNA
Source: RNAcentral